ACUCAACGUUGAUUCUUUUAAAAAGGGUGAGUUCUAAGUUGUAAAAGCAUGCUGCUAAUAACAUUUAUGUUAUUUAGGCAGACCCUUGAUCAGCUUGUUAGCCCUAAACUUGAUUUUAAGGAGUUU
Molecule: small RNA, 126 nt
Filed under: Olleya aquimaris
Lineage: Bacteria; Pseudomonadati; Bacteroidota; Flavobacteriia; Flavobacteriales; Flavobacteriaceae
Also listed under: 1 other name
Description: 6S RNA
Rfam family: 6S-Flavo RNA
Source: RNAcentral